Long non-coding RNA from Mustela erminea (ermine), 188 nucleotides. RefSeq lists it as uncharacterized. The record is from RefSeq and is a predicted model, not a curated record. The transcript is spliced from 3 exons. NCBI's taxonomy places the organism in Eukaryota, Metazoa, Chordata, Mammalia, Carnivora, Mustelidae.
GUGACCCUGCUGGUUCCAAUUUUAGGCUAUCAAAUCAAGAUAGAGGAUGUCUUCACAAAUUGAGGAGCUGAUUCUCUAAGAGAGGAGUGGUAAUCAGUUUGCUCUCUUCUGGUGGAGAACCUCUCAAGAAUGCUACUGAGUUCUGAUAAAGUGAUCACAAGUUUGGGCAAGAGAAUUUAAACCUUUUG